This 2929-nucleotide ribosomal RNA is filed under the name Escherichia coli. Its description in RNAcentral is "23S ribosomal RNA". It matches the Rfam family "Bacterial large subunit ribosomal RNA". Lineage: Bacteria; Pseudomonadati; Pseudomonadota; Gammaproteobacteria; Enterobacterales; Enterobacteriaceae. The record is from RNAcentral.
GGGUUGUGAGGUUAAGCGACUAAGCGUACACGGUGGAUGCCCUGGCAGUCAGAGGCGAUGAAGGACGUGCUAAUCUGCGAUAAGCGUCGGUAAGGUGAUAUGAACCGUUAUAACCGGCGAUUUCCGAAUGGGGAAACCCAGUGUGUUUCGACACACUAUCAUUAACUGAAUCCAUAGGUUAAUGAGGCGAACCGGGGGAACUGAAACAUCUAAGUACCCCGAGGAAAAGAAAUCAACCGAGAUUCCCCCAGUAGCGGCGAGCGAACGGGGAGCAGCCCAGAGCCUGAAUCAGUGUGUGUGUUAGUGGAAGCGUCUGGAAAGGCGCGCGAUACAGGGUGACAGCCCCGUACACAAAAAUGCACAUGCUGUGAGCUCGAUGAGUAGGGCGGGACACGUGGUAUCCUGUCUGAAUAUGGGGGGACCAUCCUCCAAGGCUAAAUACUCCUGACUGACCGAUAGUGAACCAGUACCGUGAGGGAAAGGCGAAAAGAACCCCGGCGAGGGGAGUGAAAAAGAACCUGAAACCGUGUACGUACAAGCAGUGGGAGCCUCUUUUAUGGGGUGACUGCGUACCUUUUGUAUAAUGGGUCAGCGACUUAUAUUCUGUAGCAAGGUUAACCGAAUAGGGGAGCCGAAGGGAAACCGAGUCUUAACUGGGCGUUAAGUUGCAGGGUAUAGACCCGAAACCCGGUGAUCUAGCCAUGGGCAGGUUGAAGGUUGGGUAACACUAACUGGAGGACCGAACCGACUAAUGUUGAAAAAUUAGCGGAUGACUUGUGGCUGGGGGUGAAAGGCCAAUCAAACCGGGAGAUAGCUGGUUCUCCCCGAAAGCUAUUUAGGUAGCGCCUCGUGAAUUCAUCUCCGGGGGUAGAGCACUGUUUCGGCAAGGGGGUCAUCCCGACUUACCAACCCGAUGCAAACUGCGAAUACCGGAGAAUGUUAUCACGGGAGACACACGGCGGGUGCUAACGUCCGUCGUGAAGAGGGAAACAACCCAGACCGCCAGCUAAGGUCCCAAAGUCAUGGUUAAGUGGGAAACGAUGUGGGAAGGCCCAGACAGCCAGGAUGUUGGCUUAGAAGCAGCCAUCAUUUAAAGAAAGCGUAAUAGCUCACUGGUCGAGUCGGCCUGCGCGGAAGAUGUAACGGGGCUAAACCAUGCACCGAAGCUGCGGCAGCGACACUAUGUGUUGUUGGGUAGGGGAGCGUUCUGUAAGCCUGUGAAGGUGUGCUGUGAGGCAUGCUGGAGGUAUCAGAAGUGCGAAUGCUGACAUAAGUAACGAUAAAGCGGGUGAAAAGCCCGCUCGCCGGAAGACCAAGGGUUCCUGUCCAACGUUAAUCGGGGCAGGGUGAGUCGACCCCUAAGGCGAGGCCGAAAGGCGUAGUCGAUGGGAAACAGGUUAAUAUUCCUGUACUUGGUGUUACUGCGAAGGGGGGACGGAGAAGGCUAUGUUGGCCGGGCGACGGUUGUCCCGGUUUAAGCGUGUAGGCUGGUUUUCCAGGCAAAUCCGGAAAAUCAAGGCUGAGGCGUGAUGACGAGGCACUACGGUGCUGAAGCAACAAAUGCCCUGCUUCCAGGAAAAGCCUCUAAGCAUCAGGUAACAUCAAAUCGUACCCCAAACCGACACAGGUGGUCAGGUAGAGAAUACCAAGGCGCUUGAGAGAACUCGGGUGAAGGAACUAGGCAAAAUGGUGCCGUAACUUCGGGAGAAGGCACGCUGAUAUGUAGGUGAAGUCCCUCGCGGAUGGAGCUGAAAUCAGUCGAAGAUACCAGCUGGCUGCAACUGUUUAUUAAAAACACAGCACUGUGCAAACACGAAAGUGGACGUAUACGGUGUGACGCCUGCCCGGUGCCGGAAGGUUAAUUGAUGGGGUCAGCGCAAGCGAAGCUCUUGAUCGAAGCCCCGGUAAACGGCGGCCGUAACUAUAACGGUCCUAAGGUAGCGAAAUUCCUUGUCGGGUAAGUUCCGACCUGCACGAAUGGCGUAAUGAUGGCCAGGCUGUCUCCACCCGAGACUCAGUGAAAUUGAACUCGCUGUGAAGAUGCAGUGUACCCGCGGCAAGACGGAAAGACCCCGUGAACCUUUACUAUAGCUUGACACUGAACAUUGAGCCUUGAUGUGUAGGAUAGGUGGGAGGCUUAGAAGUGUGGACGCCAGUCUGCAUGGAGCCGACCUUGAAAUACCACCCUUUAAUGUUUGAUGUUCUAACGUUGACCCGUGAUCCGGGUUGCGGACAGUGUCUGGUGGGUAGUUUGACUGGGGCGGUCUCCUCCUAAAGAGUAACGGAGGAGCACGAAGGUUGGCUAAUCCUGGUCGGACAUCAGGAGGUUAGUGCAAUGGCAUAAGCCAGCUUGACUGCGAGCGUGACGGCGCGAGCAGGUGCGAAAGCAGGUCAUAGUGAUCCGGUGGUUCUGAAUGGAAGGGCCAUCGCUCAACGGAUAAAAGGUACUCCGGGGAUAACAGGCUGAUACCGCCCAAGAGUUCAUAUCGACGGCGGUGUUUGGCACCUCGAUGUCGGCUCAUCACAUCCUGGGGCUGAAGUAGGUCCCAAGGGUAUGGCUGUUCGCCAUUUAAAGUGGUACGCGAGCUGGGUUUAGAACGUCGUGAGACAGUUCGGUCCCUAUCUGCCGUGGGCGCUGGAGAACUGAGGGGGGCUGCUCCUAGUACGAGAGGACCGGAGUGGACGCAUCACUGGUGUUCGGGUUGUCAUGCCAAUGGCACUGCCCGGUAGCUAAAUGCGGAAGAGAUAAGUGCUGAAAGCAUCUAAGCACGAAACUUGCCCCGAGAUGAGUUCUCCCUGACUCCUUGAGAGUCCUGAAGGAACGUUGAAGACGACGACGUUGAUAGGCCGGGUGUGUAAGCGCAGCGAUGCGUUGAGCUAACCGGUACUAAUGAACCGUGAGGCUUAACCUUACAACGCCGAAGCUGUU